GUGCUGCUGAAGAAUCCCACAAUUGGACGAAACGGUUGUCCAGUAC
This 46-nucleotide non-coding RNA is filed under the name Schistosoma curassoni. The record is from RNAcentral. Lineage: Eukaryota; Metazoa; Platyhelminthes; Trematoda; Strigeidida; Schistosomatidae.